ACCUUUAGGAGGGGGAUAACAACUGGAAACGGAUUGCUAAUACCCCAAUAUGCUUUCGAGUGAAAUGGAUUUAUCCGCCUAGAGAGGAGCUCGCGGCUGAUUAGCUUGUUGGUAGGGUAAUGGCCUACCAAGGCGACGAUCAGUAUCUGGUUUGAGAGGACGAUCAGACACACUGGAACUGAGACACGGUCCAGACUCCUACGGGAGGCAGCAGUGGGGAAUUUUCCGCAAUGGGCGAAAGCCUGACGGAGCAAUACCGCGUGAGGGAAGACGGCCUAUGGGUUGUAAACCUCUUUUCUCANGGAGGAACUCAAUGACGUGUACCUGAGGAAUAAGCAUCGGCUAACUCCGUGCCAGCAGCCGCGGUAAGACGGAGGAUGCNAGUGUUAUCCGGAAUCACUGGGCGUAAAGCGUCUGUAGGUGGUUUAAUAAGUCAACUGUUUAAAUCUUGAAGCUCAACUUCAAAAUCGCAGUCGAAACUAUUAGACUANAGUAUAGUAGGGGUAAAGGGAAUUUCCAGUGCAGCGGNGAAAUGCGU
RNAcentral lists this ribosomal RNA (538 nucleotides) under uncultured cyanobacterium. RNAcentral's name for it is "bacterial SSU rRNA". It matches the Rfam family "Bacterial small subunit ribosomal RNA", at positions 128 to 691 of the family's 1533-position model. Lineage: Bacteria; Bacillati; Cyanobacteriota. The record is from RNAcentral.